UUAAAAUGAUGAAUAACUUUUGAGCGAUGGGCGGACUGAAUGAAAGUCUAAACUUGAAUGUAGAAAAUCGCUGAAACUGAUAAGAAUUGCAU
This 92-nucleotide small nucleolar RNA is filed under the name Plasmodium berghei ANKA. Its description in RNAcentral is "Plasmodium berghei snoRNA PBANKA_0938050". It matches the Rfam family "small nucleolar RNA snoR07". Lineage: Eukaryota; Apicomplexa; Aconoidasida; Haemosporida; Plasmodiidae. The record is from RNAcentral.